Molecule: ribosomal RNA, 491 nt
Filed under: uncultured bacterium
Lineage: Bacteria
Description: partial 16S ribosomal RNA
Rfam family: Bacterial small subunit ribosomal RNA
Source: RNAcentral
AUUGAACGCUGGCGGAAUGCUUAACACAUGCAAGUCGAGCGAGCUGUAGCAAUACAGCUAGCGGCGGACGGGUGAGGAAUACAUAGGAAUCUGCCUCAGGGCGGGGGAUUGCCCGGGGAAACUCGGAGUAAUACCGCAUGAUGUCGCAAGACCAAAGUGGGGGACCGCAAGGCCCCACACUCUGAGACGAGCCUAUGUCUGAUUAGCUAGUUGGCGGGGUAAUGGCCCACCAAGGCGACGAUCAGUAGCUGGUCUGAGAGGACGAUCAGCCACACCGGAACUGAGACACGGUCCGGACUCCUACGGGGGGCAGCAGUGGGGAAUAUUGGACAAUGGGCGCAAGCCUGAUCCAGCAAUUCCGCGUGGGUGAAGAAGGCCUUCGGGUUGUAAAGCCCUUUAAGUUGGGACAAAAAAAUCGGCGAUAACAUCGCCGGUCUUGAUGGUACCGACAGAAUAAGCAACGGCUAACUCCGUGCCAGCAGCCGCAGUAA